This 806-nucleotide ribosomal RNA is filed under the name uncultured bacterium. Its description in RNAcentral is "bacterial SSU rRNA". It matches the Rfam family "Bacterial small subunit ribosomal RNA", at positions 51 to 825 of the family's 1533-position model. The record is from RNAcentral.
AUACAUGCAAGUCGAGCGAGCGGAACCACAGAUUUACUUCGGUAAUGACGUUGGGAAAGCGAGCGGCGGAUGGGUGAGUAACACGUGGGGAACCUGCCCCUAAGUCUGGGAUACCAUUUGGAAACAGGUGCUAAUACCGGAUAAUAAAGCAGAUCGCAUGAUCAGCUUUUGAAAGGCGGCGUAAGCUGUCGCUAAGGGAUGGCCCCGCGGUGCAUUAGCUAGUUGGUAAGGUAACGGCUUACCAAGGCGACGAUGCAUAGCCGAGUUGAGAGACUGAUCGGCCACAUUGGGACUGAGACACGGCCCAAACUCCUACGGGAGGCAGCAGUAGGGAAUCUUCCACAAUGGACGCAAGUCUGAUGGAGCAACGCCGCGUGAGUGAAGAAGGUUUUCGGAUCGUAAAGCUCUGUUGUUGGUGAAGAAGGAUAGAGGUAGUAACUGGCCUUUAUUUGACGGUAAUCAACCAGAAAGUCACGGCUAACUACGUGCCAGCAGCCGCGGUAAUACGUAGGUGGCAAGCGUUGUCCGGAUUUAUUGGGCGUAAAGCGAGCGCAGGCGGUUUCUUAGGUCUGAUGUGAAAGCCUUCGGCUUAACCGGAGAAGUGCAUCGGAAACCAGGAGACUUGAGUGCAGAAGAGGACAGUGGAACUCCAUGUGUAGCGGUGAAAUGCGUAGAUAUAUGGAAGAACACCAGUGGCGAAGGCGGCUGUCUGGUCUGUAACUGACGCUGAGGCUCGAAAGCAUGGGUAGCGAACAGGAUUAGAUACCCUGGUAGUCCAUGCCGUAAACGAUGAGUGCUAAGUGUUG